UGAUGGAUGAUGUCUGCCAUGACUGGG
RNAcentral lists this non-coding RNA (27 nucleotides) under Homo sapiens (human). The record is from RNAcentral. Lineage: Eukaryota; Metazoa; Chordata; Mammalia; Primates; Hominidae.